This is an RNA transcript of Populus euphratica (Euphrates poplar), 1877 nucleotides long. It is a transcript of the gene named parafibromin-like, with no coding region annotated. NCBI's taxonomy places the organism in Eukaryota, Viridiplantae, Streptophyta, Magnoliopsida, Malpighiales, Salicaceae. The transcript has 5 exons. The record is from RefSeq and is a predicted model, not a curated record.
CGUACGCAAUACUCACAAACCCCUCAUCCUGGAGAAGUUCACUGUGAAAGUAGAAGAAAAUCUCACUCUUUCUUUCUAAACACCGAAAAUCCUCCCAGCUCACCAAUGGAUCCACUCUCAGCACUCCGAGACUUCACCAUCCGGGGUGACCUAGACAAAAUCAUCCGCGUCAACGGCGAAUUCCGCUUCGGCAACGAAUACACCUUCCCUUGCUCAACUAAAACCGCUUACCGUUCCAAACAAGGCAAUCUCUACACGCUAGAAACCCUAGUUUACUGCAUCCAAAACACCAAAAUCAAGUUCACCAAUUACCUCCAAGACGCCCUCGCUCUCGGCAUCCCCCCUGUCACUUACAUCGACUGGAAACCCGUCAAAGAAUACCUCUCCGGAAAACUCUCUUCUACCGACUCCAUAGUUUUCCCUCUCCCUCAAGAAUCUCAAAACCCUAAUCUUAAUUACCGCCCCGAUGAUCCCAUGCUUCUUGAUUCUCGCAUCGAUGAUUCCGCCGCCGCUGAUAAGUUGAACAAUGGGAAUGAGGGAGUUGAAAAUCACGUGUCUUUGAUUUACGCCAACGAGAGGCCGUUGAAGGAUAGGGAGUCGUUGUUGGAGUGUAAGAAUAGGGAUUUUUAUGGGGUUUUGGUUGCUUCCACGCGCCGUGAAGAGGAGAGGCAUAAAUUUGAGAGUCAACAGAGGAAAGAUGGGUUAGUGGCGAAGAGUAGGUUGAUGGGAGCUGAUGAGAGAGGAAUUGGGUAUGGUGGUGAUGAGUUGGGCUAUGAUUCAGCUGCCAAGCCCAAAAUGCAUUUGAAAGGAGGGAAAAUUGGGGAAGGGGUGCCCAUAAUUUUGGUGCCAAGUGCGUUUCAGACUUUGAUUACGAUUUAUAACGUGAAGGAAUUUUUGGAAGAUGGGAUUUUCAUACCGACGGAUGUGAAGGCUAAGCAGAUGAAAGGGCCGAAACCGGAAUGUGUUACAGUGCAGAAGAAGUUUAGCACUGAUAGGAAUAGAGUGAUGACGGCCUAUGAGGUGCGGGAUAAGCCAUCUGCACUCAAGGGUGAUGACUGGGAUAGGGUUGUGGCAGUUUUUGUGCUGGGGAAGGAGUGGCAAUUCAAGGACUGGCCCUUUAAGGAUCAUGUUGAGAUAUUUAAUAAAAUUAUUGGAUUUUUCAUGCGGUUUGAAGAUGAUAGUGUGGAGUCUGCUAAGAUUGUGAAGCAGUGGAAUGUAAAGAUUAUCUCGAUCAGCAAGAACAAGAGGCACCAGGAUAGGGCUGCAGCGUUGGAGGUAUGGGACCGACUAGAAGAAUUUGUGCGCUCGCAAUCACACACUUGAAGUGUGCAGAUUUUCAGAAGUGUGUCAAUGGAAACCAUUUCGUAACCAGCUACAAGCCAUUCAAAGUGCAGAGGCAUCGUGGAAGGAUGGAAAGCAUGCCAUGGCUGAAUAUGUGGAUGUCAUGCUCUUCUGUUGGUUUCAUGUUGUGCAAGUUAACUUCCAGUGGUUGGUUGCAGCUGCGAGCUGGAGACUUUGGUUUUUGCAUGAGUGGAUCUGAUAAUUUGUAAGACAGAAUUUACAACACAAGGUUGAACCAUAUGAAGCGGCAAAGAGAAGGAAGAACAGUAUAGAGAUUGAGAAAUCCAUGGAGCUUCCGCCUGAUGUUCCAUCUUUUUGUGUUGAUGGUACAGUUUUGGAUGCAGUUCCUACACCAGUGAAUGUCACCUUGAGCAAGUUAAUACCAAAACAGAGUCUAACAUGAUGAAAAUCCUUUUAUGAGGAUCUAUUGGUGUACAAGCAUAGAAUAACUUGAUCAACAAUAAGCUUUGUUUUCGUAGCGAAUAAUCAUAUGCAAUAAAAAAAGUUCGGUGUAAAGAGACACCGACUUGUUUAGA